GACGGAGGGUGCUAGCGUUGUUCGGAAUGACUGGGCGUAAAGGGCGCGUAGGCGGCUCGUGAAGUCGGGUGUGAAAGCCCGGGGCUCAACCCCGGAACGGCAUCCGAUACUGGAGAUCUUGAGUCCGGGAGAGGUGAGUGGAACUGCGAGUGUAGAGGUGAAAUUCGUAGAUAUUCGCAAGAACACCGGUGGCGAAGGCGGCUCACUGGCCCGGAACUGACGCUGAGACGCGAAAGCGUGGGGAGCAAACAGG
This 253-nucleotide ribosomal RNA is filed under the name uncultured bacterium. RNAcentral describes it as "partial 16S ribosomal RNA". It matches the Rfam family "Bacterial small subunit ribosomal RNA", at positions 524 to 776 of the family's 1533-position model. The record is from RNAcentral.